AAUCAGACAGCAGAUACGUAAAGAAAGAGAAGAACGCCUGAAACCACUCGUUGUCUCUGUUAAGAGGAACUGUGAGAAUAAUAUACGGCCAUUGGCGAUAUUGAAUGGGGUCCACAGGGUAUCUGUUUCAUCUGCAUCAAGUUGCGUUUAUCUGCCUCUCUUCUUCAUCUCAUCUGCCACAAUAUAAAAUAUCAUCUCAUGGAACAAUUUUGUUCGACCCAGACCUAUGCAGCAGCUGCCAGUAAUCCGGCGCUUUGCCGUCGCAGCGGCAGGUCCAAAGCAGGUAGUGGCUCGGAAACUAAAACGCAAGAUAUCUGGAGAUUCUGGCAAUACACUUAAACGGGCAAUGCGGAUCUGAGACGCUUGCGUGAAACUUGCAUUCAGAAUUAUCCUGGUGAAGAAAGCAUUUUGUACCUGACAUCAAGAAAAUUAAUUCUGAAUGAACCAAAAUGACUUACUUUGGUUACAAAGCACUUGUAGAAUGUGGUACUUGACUAUGACUAUGUAUGUUAAUAUAAGUACAACUGUGACAAUAAAAUGAUUAAUUAUAUAUA
Non-coding RNA from Zootermopsis nevadensis, 554 nucleotides. The record is from RefSeq and is a predicted model, not a curated record. Lineage: Eukaryota; Metazoa; Arthropoda; Insecta; Blattodea; Termopsidae.